AGGGUAAGUUGUUCUACGUCUCAAUGGCAACUUUUGCGCAAGGCUCUUUGAUAGAGCCAUUUUCCCUAGGCCGAGUAAAGGAGUGGACUCGGCCUUUUUUU
Non-coding RNA from Xenorhabdus beddingii, 101 nucleotides. NCBI's taxonomy places the organism in Bacteria, Pseudomonadati, Pseudomonadota, Gammaproteobacteria, Enterobacterales, Morganellaceae. The record is from Rfam.